AGCACUGCUUUACUGCAUUAUAUCCGAAUUUGUGUUAUAUUGGGUCGCGCUAUAUCAGGGUAGAGGUGUAUCUAAUUACAAACCCAGUGGUUUUCAUUUUUUGGGUUGCCUCUGCUGAAGAAGUGGGAUUUUGACGGUGCUAGAUACCCUUAUUUUGAAGUGCUGAGUUUCAGGGAUUUGACAGAUUUUAAGAGAUUCUAGGACUGGUUAUAUUUACCAGUUGAGAGUGUCCCUUUUAAAUGUGCCAGACAAUCCUAUUAGAUCCAAAUCCUUUCCAGAAGAACUUGAGACUUUGUGCCUUCUCCAGUUUUCCCCACAUUCACAGACAGUGCAUUACAAGAAAAAACCCACACAACGUAACUGUGUACCUCAUGCAGAAAAGUUACAUUCUUGUGUCUCGCUCUCACUGCCAAAAAAGCUGUAUAUGGUCUGAUAAUGAACCAAGCUAUACGUUUCUUCUCUCUUCCUCAUGAGCAUAAAAAGGAGGAACACUCCAAAAUCUUUGGCACAGUUAAUUGUGAAGCAGUGGAAGCCAUGCCCAGUAUUUCAAAUUGUACUUUUAAUCAGUGUUUUUGAAGUCCGCUAUUUUAAAGUUUUCAGUUGAGCCUCUAAGACACCAUAGUACAGUGUCUCAUGAAGUCUUUAAACAGCGAACUCUAGGCUUCAGUCUUGUAUUUUAUAUAUUAGUUGUGUUACUUUUUUUUAUAGUUUUCUUUCAUCUUCAGAUCAAUUGUCUUUGUUGUGCAUUCAUCUUCAAUGUCAUCAUACUGUGUACGAUAAAAUUCUCAGGUAACCUUUCUGGAUUACUGCAUUCAUCUUUUGAGCAGAAAGGGAUAUCAUCUGACUGAUAUCCACCAUGUCAUUUAUGACAUUUACCUGCUCAGGACUUGGGAAAAAAAUAUUUUAAGCCAGACAUUAGCCAUAAGUAGAGAUAACAGAUUUCUUUGGAGGGGGAGAUCCAAGGGGAAUGCCCAGCCCCACUGCUAAUCCAAGAUGCCAGAAAGUAAUCGAAUUUCUAAUCAGAUACCCCAUGUAUGAACACUGGAUGGCAAAUUGCAUCCUUCAUAUCAGCCUUUGGUUGGUAGGCUUUUGAUAGAUUUGUAACUUCAUCCUCAACCACUGGAAGGGAAGAGGAGUUCUCUCUUCUCUUCCAGAAUCACAACAUUCAACACUCCUGCUUUCCAGCUUUGACUCUUUAUGUCUAUUUCCCCUCUAAAAAUUCCAGUGUCUCAGUUACUGUUUCUUUACCCAAUUGUAUAAUUAACUAAAGCUCACUAUUUAUCCCUAACAUGGCUACUUUCCUCGCAUCCAUAGCAAUUUGUCUAGAAGGACUGUCCCUUAUUUCAGAAGGAUUAAUGUUUUUAAAUGGCACAGUUCAAACUAGAUUUUUGGAUUCAUCAAACUUUGUAAUACCCCAACAAUCUACCACAGCAAUUGUCAAACUUUACUGUCCUGUUCUAUUUCUUCUUUCCAACCUAACAUGGGGCUCUGGCCUUUUCCUUCCUGCUUUCAAACCAAGAAAGCUGAAGUUUCAGAUUCAGCAGUGGCAAAUUCUGAAAGAGAUUUCAAAGCUUAGAGCUCCCCUUCUUCAUAUUUGUUGCAUUCCUCCCAUUCCCAGAAGUAACACGGGCAAGGUUCACUGCUGGAAGAGGUUUAAUUACAUCUUCUCUCAAAUGUGUCUUAUUCAGUAAGUUCCCACUGAAAUCUUCCUUCCUAAAGCACUUUGCAUUUGCAAGCUGGAAAGUGUCAGUUUUAAGGGUUAUAUUCUUCUAACAAUUCUGUCACAAGUCUUACCCUCAUAUUACAUACUGCAAUAGUCCAAAGUCUCAAAUUUAACCUUUGUGAAAUGUGCUCUGGUUCCUUAAGAGAUAGCUAAUACAGAGUAAAAGUAACAAAGAAUCCU
Chelonoidis abingdonii (Abingdon island giant tortoise) is the source of this 1903-nucleotide non-coding RNA. The record is from RefSeq and is a predicted model, not a curated record. NCBI's taxonomy places the organism in Eukaryota, Metazoa, Chordata, Testudines, Testudinidae.